RNAcentral lists this ribosomal RNA (254 nucleotides) under uncultured bacterium. RNAcentral's name for it is "partial 16S ribosomal RNA". It matches the Rfam family "Bacterial small subunit ribosomal RNA", at positions 524 to 776 of the family's 1533-position model. The record is from RNAcentral.
UACGUAGGGGGCAAGCGUUAUCCGGAUUCACUGGGCGUAAAGGGCGCGUAGGCGGUUAUGUAAGUCAGGCGUGAAAGCUCACGGCUCAACUGUGGACGUGCGUCUGAUACUGCAUUGACUUGAGGUCGGUAGAGGCAACUGGAACUAGCGGUGUAGCGGUGAAAUGCGCAGAUAUCGCUAGGAACGCCGGUGGCGAAGGCGAGUUGCUGGGCCGUACCUGACGCUGAGGCGCGAAAGCUAGGGGAGCGAACCGG